RNAcentral lists this long non-coding RNA (1238 nucleotides) under Setaria italica (foxtail millet). RNAcentral describes it as "long non-coding RNA (SITA_LNC006419)". The record is from RNAcentral. Lineage: Eukaryota; Viridiplantae; Streptophyta; Magnoliopsida; Poales; Poaceae.
AAUGCAAUACCAAAUCGGAGUUCAGCCCAAGCAAACCAUAAUAAGUUUUAUAGAGUAGCACCCAAUAGACUCAACCAGAAAAAGGCAUAACCAUAGAAGAUAGCAAUGCGCAGAAUAACUUCAAACAGGUACACUCCCUCUACUCUCAAGGUAUAACAUAUUAACUUACUGUUUGUGCAUCUUUCUUAUUGUGGCUUAUGUUUAUUUUCAUAUUCACAAAUCAGAAAUGAUCUUAGUAGUGCCAUCAGGUUCCAAAUAAAGGCUAGCAUUCUACAGGAGAAAAUGCACUGCCAAUAUGAAAGUAACCAAAUUUCAUCAGGCAGCCAGAUGUAAUGAAAUGUCAGAUGACAUCGACUAAAACUAAGUAGGAAAAAAAGGUCAGGUUGGCUGUUAAAUAUACGCAUAAAACAAAAACAUAUGGCAAAUGCUACAACACUCAAAUCCUCGAUGAUUAACAUGUAAACUAUCUUCAAAAGGAGGCAAACCUUUGACAUUCUACGUUCAUAGCUUUCUUUUGCAGGUCCAACGCAUUCCCUUACAAAACUUCGAUUGCAGUGAGUAAAGCCUGCAUUGAAUUUUGCCAUCGAAGGAAGUUUCAAGACUUGAAGGUGAUCCAUCUUAUCUUCACACUCAGAAAAGCGAGCUUCACACAACUUUGACGAUUGAUACUCGUUAGCUAGAAGGAAGUUUCUGUACACCUACAAAGUACAUACCUGUAAGUAUGUAAAACAUAUUAUCUUCUAAAGGUGACAGAAGGUGAAAGUUAAUUUCAAGGCAUGUAUGGUGUUCUCUAAUCUCCCACGAAAAGAAAGAGGUGUACCGCAGCAAGGAAAUAUGAAAGCAAAACAUUAUUCAUAGCAUGCCAUAAAAAAAAUCAAACUGUACUAGUGGAAUUAUAAUAUCAUAACAAGGUCAAGAACAACAAAUAGAAACGAGAAUUAAUCACAUGACCAUUACAAUACUAUUGCCAUGCAACAAAUAACAUUUCAUUGUGGAUUCCUUUUUCAAUGUGAAAUGAACCCAAAACAUAUCCAAAAAAUAGUAAAGUAAUAUUAAUGAAACCUUUUUAAUCUCAUCUUCAAGCUUCAGGACUGACUGAGCAGCAUGAUGUUUACCAAAGUGCUGCUUAUCAAAGAUAAUUUUAGCUUCAGCAUUUGCCAUCUCAUGAACUUGCUGCAGUUUGUCUACAGGUACUGGUAGGCCUAAGCCAUCCAUUUUCUCCCUAUACACCUUCAGAC